UACGUAGGGUGCAAGCGUUAAUCGGAAUUACUGGGCGUAAAGCGUGCGCAGGCGGUUUUGUAAGUCUGUCGUGAAAUCCCCGGGCUCAACCUGGGAAUUGCGAUGGAGACUGCAAGGCUAGAAUCUGGCAGAGGGGGGUAGAAUUCCACGUGUGAGCAGUGAAAUGCGUAGAGUAUGUGGAGGAACACCGAUGGCGAAGGCAGCCCCCUGGGUCAAGAUUGACGCUCAUGCACGAAAGCGUGGGGAGCAACAGG
RNAcentral lists this ribosomal RNA (254 nucleotides) under uncultured bacterium. RNAcentral describes it as "partial 16S ribosomal RNA". It matches the Rfam family "Bacterial small subunit ribosomal RNA", at positions 524 to 775 of the family's 1533-position model. The record is from RNAcentral.